Oncorhynchus keta (chum salmon) is the source of this 1428-nucleotide long non-coding RNA. RefSeq lists it as uncharacterized. The record is from RefSeq and is a predicted model, not a curated record. Lineage: Eukaryota; Metazoa; Chordata; Actinopteri; Salmoniformes; Salmonidae. The transcript is spliced from 3 exons.
AUCUAUUUAGACAGUGAGGAAUCAGAUUUAGAUUGUAUUGAGUAUACAGUCCACACCAUAUCUAUUUAGACAGUGAGGUAUCAGAUUUAGAUUGUAUUGAGUAUACAGUCCACACCAUAUCUAUUUAGACAUUGAGGUAUCAGAUUUAGAUUGUAUUGAGUAUACAGUCCACACCAUAUCUAUUUAGACAGUGAGGAAUCAGAUUUAGAUUGUAUUGAGUAUACAGUCCACAUCAUAUCUAUUUAGACAGUGAGGAAUCAGAUUUAGAUUGUAUUGAGAAUACAGUCCACACCAUAUCUAUUUAGACAGUGAGGAAUCAGAUUUAGAUUGUAUUGAGUAUACAGUCCACACCAUAUCUAUUUAGACAGUGAGGAAUCAGAUUUAGAUUGUAUUGAGUAUACAGUCCACACCAUAUCUAUUUAGACAGUGAGGUAUCAGAUUUAGAUUGUAUUGAGUAUACAGUCCACACCAUAUCUAUUUAGACAGUGAGGUAUCAGAUUUAGAUUGUAUUGAGUAUACAGUCCACAUCAUAUCUAUUUAGACAGUGAGGAAUCAGAUUUAGAUUGUAUUGAGUAUACAGUCCACACCAUAUCUAUUUAGACAGUGAGGAAUCAGAUUUAGAUUGUAUUGAGUAUACAGUCCACACCAUAUCUAUUUAGACAGUGAGGUAUCAGAUUUAGAUUGUAUUGAGUAUACAGUCCACACCAUAUCUAUUUAGACAGUGAGGUAUCAGAUUUAGAUUGUAUUGAGUAUACAGUCCACACCAUAUCUAUUUAGACAGUGAGGUAUCAGAUUUAGAUUGUAUUGAGUAUACAGUCCACAUCAUAUCUAUUUAGACAGUGAGGAAUCAGAUUUAGAUUGUAUUGAGUAUACAGUCCACACCAUAUCUAUUUAGACAGUGAGGAAUCAGAUUUAGAUUGUAUUGAGUAUACAGUCCACACCAUAUCUAUUUAGACAGUGAGGAAUCAGAUUUAGAUUGUAUUGAGUAUACAGUCCACACCAUAUCUAUUUAGACAGUGAGGUAUCAGAUUUAGAUUGUAUUGAGUAUACAGUCCACACCAUAUCUAUUUAGACAGUGAGGAAUCAGAUUUAGAUUGUAUUGAGUAUUCAGUCCACACCAUAUCUAUUUAGACAGUGAGGAAUCAGAUUUAGAUUGUAUUGAGAAUACAGUCCACACCAUAUCUAUUUAGACAGUGAGGUAUCAGAUUUAGAUUGUAUUGAGUAUACAGUCCACACCAUAUCUAUUUAGACAGUGAGGUAUCAGAUUUAGAUUGUAUUGAGUAUACAGUCCACACCAUAUCUAUUUAGACAGUGAGGUAUCAGAUUUAGAUUGUAUUGAGUAUACAGUCCACACCAUAUCUAUUUAGACAGUGAGGUAUCAGAUUUAGAUUGUAUUGAGUAUACAGUCCACACCAUAUCUAUUUAGAC